This 125-nucleotide small RNA is filed under the name Rhizobium sp. BK313. RNAcentral describes it as "ar14". It matches the Rfam family "Alphaproteobacterial ar14". Rfam says of the family: Smr14C2 was renamed NfeR1 (Nodule Formation Efficiency RNA) highly expressed in salt stress and during the symbiotic interaction on legume roots. Lineage: Bacteria; Pseudomonadati; Pseudomonadota; Alphaproteobacteria; Hyphomicrobiales; Rhizobiaceae. The record is from RNAcentral.
AGAAUUCGGAGCUGCACACUCCUCCUCCCAGUGCCGCUCCGAUGGAUUGACGACACUCCUCCUCCCAGUCGUCAAUCAUCACAAAUGACGCCCACCGCAUCUUCCUCCCGCGGUGGGCGUUAUUU